UACGUAGGGUGCGAGCGUUGUCCGGAAUUAUUGGGCGUAAAGAGCUCGUAGGCGGUCUGUCGCGUCGGGAGUGAAAACACCGGGCUUAACUCGGUGCUUGCUUUCGAUACGGGCAGACUAGAGGCAUGCAGGGGAGAACGGAAUUCCUGGUGUAGCGGUGAAAUGCGCAGAUAUCAGGAGGAACACCGGUGGCGAAGGCGGUUCUCUGGGCAUGUCCUGACGCUGAGGAGCGAAAGUGUGGGGAGCGAACAGG
Molecule: ribosomal RNA, 253 nt
Filed under: uncultured bacterium
Lineage: Bacteria
Description: partial 16S ribosomal RNA
Rfam family: Bacterial small subunit ribosomal RNA
Source: RNAcentral